UCACAUCACUGUGACCUCUGAACCUA
RNAcentral lists this non-coding RNA (26 nucleotides) under Rattus norvegicus (Norway rat). Lineage: Eukaryota; Metazoa; Chordata; Mammalia; Rodentia; Muridae. The record is from RNAcentral.